Molecule: long non-coding RNA, 557 nt
Filed under: Sorghum bicolor (sorghum)
Lineage: Eukaryota; Viridiplantae; Streptophyta; Magnoliopsida; Poales; Poaceae
Description: long non-coding RNA (SBIC_LNC009607)
Source: RNAcentral
UCCGACCGUUUUCUAUAUGACACAGAACGACAUGCUGAACAUGGACAUGGUGCUGUCCCACCUUUACGGCUGCCUCCAAAGGUGCUAUCGUUAAUCUUUGUUGCCACUCUACAGUUGUCUUAUCCAACCGCAUCCAACUACUACCCUGAUGUGACAUACUAUUUCGUAUGCCUAAAAAUCACACACAAAAAUGACAACUUAAAAUUUCUAGUUUAUUUGGUAAUUGAGCUGAAAUUGCUAAGAAAAUACUAUUGUACACAUAAAACUAAAUAGAAGUAGUGUAUUGGCUUCUUCCAUCUAUACAAUCAAAUUGAAAUAUAAUACUGAAUAUAAAUUGAGUAGAUGAGAAACUAAGAAAGAAAAAUAUACUGGUAUUCAGUGGCGGAUAACAGUUCUCUUUUCUAAGCCCUAGACAAAUAUUUCUUAGGUAAAAUUGCACAAUUCAAAGACCUAAAAAUAUAUCUAUAUUAGUUUGUAUAAUCAAUCACCUAAUAAUAAUCAAACAAAACAAGAAGAUGCACGUACGUACUGCAGUCAAAUGGAACUUCGAUCGUAGG